CGAUGAUGCCCAGCUUGCUGGGUGGAUUAGUGGCGAACGGGUGAGUAACACGUGAGUAACCUGCCCCUGACUCUGGGAUAAGCGUUGGAAACGACGUCUAAUACUGGAUACGACUGCCGGCCGCAUGGUCUGGUGGUGGAAAGAUUUUUUGGUUGGGGAUGGACUCGCGGCCUAUCAGCUUGUUGGUGAGGUAAUGGCUCACCAAGGCGACGACGGGUAGCCGGCCUGAGAGGGUGACCGGCCACACUGGGACUGAGACACGGCCCAGACUCCUACGGGAGGCAGCAGUGGGGAAUAUUGCACAAUGGGCGAAAGCCUGAUGCAGCAACGCCGCGUGAGGGAUGACGGCCUUCGGGUUGUAAACCUCUUUUAGUAGGGAAGAAGCGAAAGUGACGGUACCUGCAGAAAAAGCACCGGCUAACUACGUGCCAGCAGCCGCGGUAAUACGUAGGGUGCAAGCGUUGUCCGGAAUUAUUGGGCGUAAAGAGCUCGUAGGCGGUUUGUCGCGUCUGCUGUGAAAUCCCGAGGCUCAACCUCGGGCUUGCAGUGGGUACGGGCAGACUAGAGUGCGGUAGGGGAGAUUGGAAUUCCUGGUGUAGCGGUGGAAUGCGCAGAUAUCAGGAGGAACACCGAUGGCGAAGGCAGAUCUCUGGGCCGUAACUGACGCUGAGGAGCGAAAGCGUGGGGAGCGAACAGGAUUAGAUACCCUGGUAGUCCACGCCGUAAACGUUGGGCGCUAGAUGUAGGGACCUUUCCACGGUUUCUGUGUCGUAGCUAACGCAUUAAGCGCCCCGCCUGGGGAGUAC
RNAcentral lists this ribosomal RNA (806 nucleotides) under Curtobacterium sp. RNAcentral describes it as "bacterial SSU rRNA". It matches the Rfam family "Bacterial small subunit ribosomal RNA", at positions 67 to 883 of the family's 1533-position model. The record is from RNAcentral. Lineage: Bacteria; Bacillati; Actinomycetota; Actinomycetes; Micrococcales; Microbacteriaceae.